GAUGAACGCUGGCGGCGUGCCUAAUACAUGCAAGUCGAGCGAACAGACGAGGAGCUUGCUCCUCUGACGUUAGCGGCGGACGGGUGAGUAACACGUGGAUAACCUACCUAUAAGACUGGGAUAACAUCGGGAAACCGGAGCUAAUACCGGAUAAUAUAUUGAACCGCAUGGUUCAAUAGUGAAAGACGGUUUUGCUGUCACUUAUAGAUGGAUCCGCGCCGCAUUAGCUAGUUGGUAAGGUAACGGCUUACCAAGGCAACGAUGCGUAGCCGACCUGAGAGGGUGAUCGGCCACACUGGAACUGAGACACGGUCCAGACUCCUACGGGAGGCAGCAGUAGGGAAUCUUCCGCAAUGGGCGAAAGCCUGACGGAGCAACGCCGCGUGAGUGAUGAAGGUCUUCGGAUCGUAAAGCUCUGUUAUUAGGGAAGAACAAAUGUGUAAGUAACUAUGCACGUCUUGACGGUACCUAAUCAGAAAGCCACGGCUAACUACGUG
This 497-nucleotide ribosomal RNA is filed under the name uncultured bacterium. Its description in RNAcentral is "partial 16S ribosomal RNA". It matches the Rfam family "Bacterial small subunit ribosomal RNA", at positions 28 to 507 of the family's 1533-position model. The record is from RNAcentral.